UUGAACGCUGGCGGUAUGCUUAACACAUGCAAGUCGAACGGAAACGAUACUAGCUUGCUAGUAGGCGUCGAGUGGCGGACGGGUGAGUAACGCGUAGGAAUCUGCCUGAUAGUGGGGGAUAGCCCGAAGAAAUUCGGAUUAAUACCGCAUAAUCUAUUCGUAGUAAAGUGGGGGACUUUCGAGCCUCACGCUAUCAGAUGAGCCUGCGUAAGAUUAGCUUGUUGGUAGGGUAAAAGCCUACCAAGGCGACGAUCUUUAGCUGGUCUGAGAGGAUGAUCAGCCACAUCGGGACUGAGACACGGCCCGAACUCCUACGGGAGGCAGCAGUGGGGAAUAUUGGACAAUGGGGGCAACCCUGAUCCAGCAAUACCGCGUGUGUGAAGAAGGCCUGAGGGUUGUAAAGCACUUUCAAUUGUGAAGAAAAGUUAGCGGUUAAUAACCGUUAGCCUUGACGUUAACUUUAGAAGAAGCACCGGCUAACUCCGUGCCAGCAGCCGCGGUAAUACGGAGGGUGCAAGCGUUAAUCGGAAUUACUGGGCGUAAAGCGUGCGUAGGCGGUUUAUUAAGUCAGAUGUGAAAGCCCCGGGCUUAACCUGGGAACUGCAUUUGAAACUGGUCAACUAGAGUAUGGUAGAGGAAAGUGGAAUUUCUGGUGUAGCGGUGAAAUGCGUAGAUAUCAGAAGGAACAUCAAUGGCGAAGGCAGCUUUCUGGACCAAUACUGACGCUGAGGUACGAAAGCGUGGGUAGCAAACAGGAUUAGAUACCCUGGUAGUCCACGCCGUAAACGAUGAUAACUAGCCGUUGGGGGGAUUUACCCUUUAGUGGCGAAGCUAACGCGUUAAGUUAUCCGCCUGGGGAGUACGGCCGCAAGGUUAAAACUCAAAGGAAUUGACGGGGACCCGCACAAGCGGUGGAGCAUGUGGUUUAAUUCGAUGCAACGCGAAGAACCUUACCUGGUCUUGACAUCCUGCGAACUUUCUAGAAAUAGAUUGGUGCCUUCGGGAACGCAGUGACAGGUGCUGCAUGGCUGUCGUCAGCUCGUGUCGUGAGAUGUCGGGUUAAGUCCCGUAACGAGCGCAACCCCUAUCCUUAUUUGCCAGCACAUCAUGGUGGGAACUAUAAGGAGACUGCCGGUGAUAAACCGGAGGAAGGCGGGGACGACGUCAAGUCAUCAUGGCCCUUACGACCAGGGCUACACACGUGCUACAAUGGGAAGGACAAAGAGCCGCGAAGCCGCGAGGUGUAGCUAAUCUCAUAAACCUUUUCGUAGUCCGGAUUGGAGUCUGCAACUCGACUCCAUGAAGUCGGAAUCGCUAGUAAUCGUAGAUCAGAAUGCUACGGUGAAUACGUUCCCGGGUCUUGUACACACCGC
Molecule: ribosomal RNA, 1373 nt
Filed under: uncultured bacterium
Lineage: Bacteria
Description: bacterial SSU rRNA
Rfam family: Bacterial small subunit ribosomal RNA
Source: RNAcentral